AUUGAACGCUGGCGGCAUGCCUUACACAUGCAAGUCGAACGGCAGCACGGGUGCUUGCACCUGGUGUCGAGUGGCGAACGGGUGAGUAAUACAUCGGAACAUGUCCUGUAGUGGGGGAUAGCCCGGCGAAAGCCGGAUUAAUACCGCAUACGAUCUACGGAUGAAAGCGGGGGACCUUCGGGCCUCGCGCUAUAGGGUUGGCCGAUGGCUGAUUAGCUAGUUGGUGGGGUAAAGGCCUACCAAGGCGACGAUCAGUAGCUGGUCUGAGAGGACGACCAGCCACACUGGGACUGAGACACGGCCCAGACUACUACGGGAGGCAGCAGUGGGGAAUUUUGGACAAUGGGCGAAAGCCUGAUCCAGCAAUGCCGCGUGUGUGAAGAAGGCCUUCGGGUUGUAAAGCACUUUUGUCCGGAAAGAAAUCCUUGGCCCUAAUACGGUCGGGGGAUGACGGUACCGGAAGAAUAAGCACCGGCUAACUACGUG
RNAcentral lists this ribosomal RNA (486 nucleotides) under uncultured bacterium. Its description in RNAcentral is "partial 16S ribosomal RNA". It matches the Rfam family "Bacterial small subunit ribosomal RNA", at positions 30 to 507 of the family's 1533-position model. The record is from RNAcentral.